GACUGUGUUCACCAUGGUCUGGGCGCCUGUCUUUCUCCUGGUCCUCUGUCACUGCUCAGGUUCCCUCUCCCAGCCUGUGCUGACUCAGCCGCCCUCCCUCUCUGCAUCGCUGGGAGCCUCAGCCAGACUCACCUGCACCCUGAGCAGUGGCUUCAAUGUUGGGGACUUCUGGAUAUGCUGGUAUCAGCAUAACCCAGGGAGCCCUCCCCGAUAUCUCCUGACCUUGAAGUCAGGCUCAGAUAAACACCAGGGCUCUGGGGUCCCCAGCCGCUUCUCUGGAUCCAAAGACACCUCCGCCAAUGCAGGGAUCCUGCACAUCUCUGGGCUGCAGGCCGAGGACGAGGCUGACUAUUACUGUGCCACAUGGCAUGGCAGCUCUAAGAUUUACACAGUGCUCCAAACCCUUGGGGAAGUGAGACAAAAAACCUCCUCUCUGCCCUCCUAGCCUGGUGCAGUCAUUCUUUCUGGUGGUUCUGACAAAGUCU
Non-coding RNA from Nycticebus coucang (slow loris), 485 nucleotides. NCBI's taxonomy places the organism in Eukaryota, Metazoa, Chordata, Mammalia, Primates, Lorisidae. The record is from the annotation of a RefSeq genome assembly.